UGCCCUAACAGUUCCCCGCCCGGGAACAAGGAGCUGGUAUCAGGCACAACCCUACUGAGCCCACGACACCUUGCUUAGCCACACCCUCAAGGGAACUCAGCAGUGAUAAACAUUAAGCCAUAAGUGAAAACUUGACUUAGUUAAAGCUAAGAGGGCCGGUAAAACUCGUGCCAGCCACCGCGGUUAUACGAGAGGCCCAAGUUGACAAACACCGGCGUAAAGCGUGGUUAAGUUAAAAAUCGUACUAAAGCCAAACAUCUUCAAGACUGUUAUACGUAACCGAAGAUAGGAAGUUCAACCACGAAAGUCGCUUUAUCUGAUCUGAAUCCACGAAAGCUAAGGAACAAACUGGGAUUAGAUACCCCACUAUGCCUAGCCCUAAACAUUGAUAGUACUACACACCCACUAUCCGCCCGGGUACUACGAGCAACAGCUUAAAACCCAAAGGACUUGGCGGUGCUUUAGAUCCACCUAGAGGAGCCUGUUCUAAAACCGAUAACCCCCGUUCAACCUCACCCUUCCUUGUUUUACCCGCCUAUAUACCGCCGUCGUCAGCUUACCCUGUGAGGGACUAAUAGUAAGCAGAACUGGUACAACCUAAAACGUCAGGUCGAGGUGUAGCGUAUGGAGGGGGAAGAAAUGGGCUACAUUCGCUACCACAGCGAACACGAAUGAUGCACUGAAACACACAUCUGAAGGAGGAUUUAGCAGUAAGCUG
Molecule: ribosomal RNA, 718 nt
Filed under: Asprocottus pulcher
Lineage: Eukaryota; Metazoa; Chordata; Actinopteri; Perciformes; Cottidae
Description: partial 12S ribosomal RNA
Rfam family: Bacterial small subunit ribosomal RNA
Source: RNAcentral